Molecule: transfer RNA, 131 nt
Filed under: Vibrio vulnificus
Lineage: Bacteria; Pseudomonadati; Pseudomonadota; Gammaproteobacteria; Vibrionales; Vibrionaceae
Description: tRNA-OTHER
Rfam family: tRNA
About the family: Transfer RNA (tRNA) molecules are approximately 80 nucleotides in length.
Source: RNAcentral
GGCUGGGUAGCUUAGUGGUAAAGCACCUUGGUUCCUCUCUAUUUUGGUAGAGAGGAACAACCUUCCAAUAGAUUUAUGUUUAUGUGAAUCUAUUGGAAGAGGUUUCCGAGGUUCGAAUCCUCGUCCAGCCA